Non-coding RNA from Oncorhynchus mykiss (rainbow trout), 2516 nucleotides. The record is from RefSeq and is a predicted model, not a curated record. NCBI's taxonomy places the organism in Eukaryota, Metazoa, Chordata, Actinopteri, Salmoniformes, Salmonidae.
AGGUUGAUUGACAGAACUUGCAGAAUAUUAAAUUAAAGGUUUUUGUUUCUUUUAUUUUACAAUAUCAUUGUAAUUGGAGUAAUACAUUGGAAUGACAUAAGUAAUUGAAUAAAAAGUAUAGUCUGUUGUGUGAUAACACCCAAGGAUGAAGAAGACAUUACAAAUAGUGGUAAUUUAUUGCAAAUAUGCAGUUAUUAUAAUUUACUUUAUAAUUUUUCUUGUUUGGUCAAUUUAUUUUUGGUUUGAGGAAAAUAAGAGUGUAUAUUUUUCCUGAGGAGGGACUGAUAUAAAUUGACUAAAAAUGAUUUGAGAAUGUUUAAGUAUGUAUCAAACUAUGGAAGGAAAUUAGAAGUAGUGACGUAUGUGUUAUGGGUUAGAAAAACUGUAACUACAUUGGGGGCUCAUAUGAAGGUUAUGGUAACAAGGGGGGGUGUUAUUUCUAGAAACAGUGUAUAUUGAUAGACAAGAUAAUUCACAGAAAAGGAAGGACAGUUGGUCUUGUAAAAAUAUAGGGACAAUUCUAAAAGUAGAUAGAACAUUACACACACCUAGAUUAUGGUAAAAGUAAUAAGUAGUGGCAUUUUGAAGAAGCUUAGGACUUAGUUUUGUUAGGAUUGGAUAUUCUUCCAACUAGAAAACACUUGACUGAUUACAUGUUAUUCUUGCAGCAGUUACGGUAGGGACCAUAAUUUGGCUAUCAUUAUGAAUAUUUUUGUGGCAAGAGGCCAGGUAUUUAAGACAGAAUGUUUACAUAGGGCUGUUAUUUAAAAAUUAAGAUUUAGUGAUCCUGCUAUAAGAAGAAAGUCUGUUGUCAGGAAAUAACCCAUGUGUUAGUGUGUAUGUCCCCAGGAAAAAACAGCACAUAAGAGGCCAGAUGGAAGGGCAUAGGCUGAAUUCUGGAGACUGAGUGUACAUCAAGAUACAUCGGGCUGGGGAUAUACUUCUUACAGCACCUGCUGUGGUAAAGAUCGUCAUGUCUCUCUUUGGUGGGUGCAUAAGUCUCACAAGAAGUAAAGUCCAGCUGAAUAAUGGGUGAGCUUGAAAACACCAUGACAGAGGACGUGAAACAAAACAAAAGAGAGAGAGAGAGAGACUAGAUUCUACUGUAGACAUACUGGGUUGAGUUUGGGGGUUAUUUGUUUUAUUUGAUAAUGUAUCAUGUGAAUAAGGAUAUAUGUUAGGGUAGUUGUACUCUAAACCACAUGUUGAAGGCUCAAUGUGGAAGCCCAUUCCGUGUUGAAUUACUUUAAGAAGCAAUAAUGUUGAUUAAGGUUAUGCACAUGUUUAUCAGUUGAAACAGAGCAGAUGGGGAACUAAGUAAAAAAUGACAUGGUUUGGGAACACCUCUCAGAACCUGCGGCCGAAAGGGGAAGACUGGAUGAAAGCACGAGGAAGCCAAUUAGGGCCUCCAUUUUUGUGGAGUCCAGCAGAAAAGUAUCCUGGAGGCAUAGAGUCAGUCUUAUGUUUAGGAAACCAGAUGGAGAAGGGUUCUCCAGCUUCAGCUGGAAUGUCAGUUUGUGUGAUGAGUGAUGGAAGUAAGAGAAUGUAUGGUGUAAUCAUAGAACAGAGGCCAUACGUCUCUAAGUAUGAAUGCCCCACAGAAAGAAGGCAGAAAUCUGAACCAGGAUGAGAGGUUCCACAUCUGAUGAUCCAAGGGGACCAGAAGGAUCUCUCCCAGUGAUACCAGGAGAUCGAGUCUACGUUUGAGUGUUCCGAAGGAAGUGGGAUCAGCCGAGGAGGGAAGGACCCUACGAGGUGGCAACAGCCACAAACACGGCCGUCCAAGUGAAAGGAAGCAAGACGUGGUAUCAUCUAAACCACUGUACCCGAGUCCCGACGGAGAGAAGGACACAACCAUACAGAGAUGAGGACACAGAGGAUGCUGAUUCACCAGAAGGGACCCCGGAGGGAGCAGGAGCAGCGGAAUCGAUCAAAGCGCCGGGGAGGAAUCAAGAAAAUGGCAGACCAGAUACAACGAGUGCAUCGGCUAACACACUCAGAAGAACCGACCAGGGAAAAAGAGCCUGAAAAGAAAAGAGACAAACAACCAAAGUUUCCUCCAGUAUGGCCAGAAAGCCCAGAAGUGGGAGGGGGUAACAUGUCUGCCACUCCUGAUGAUAUACUUGUUGGGGCAGACUCUGUUGACGGAAGCCUUCUACAGUGGGACCCCGAGGUAUCGCCUAAAGAAGGGGAACAUCUCUUCCCUGAAAUGGACGCCUUCCCAGAUGGAAGCUCAGUUCGGGCUGAGGAGGGAACAACAUGCGAAGAGAGUGGAGGAGAAGCCUUAUCAGGAACAACAAGUGAAGAAAGCAGAGGAGAAGCCUUACCAAGAGCAGAAGGAGAAAUCUUGCAAGAUGAAAGAAAUGGGGAUUUCCCCAAAAUUGACUUUUCAGCUCUUGAAUUGUCUCCAUAAUGAACAAUUGAAGUUAGACCCAUAGAAGAACAAUGAUAUUGACAUAACAGAAGUAACAGUGAACGCUAGAAUAGCAACAACAGACUCACGCACAAUCAAGAUG